AAAUACUCCCGAGAGACCGAUAGUGAACCAGUACUGUGAAGGAAAGGUGAAAAGCACUUCGAACAGAAGAGUGAAAUAGUUCCUGAAACCAUGCGCCUACAAGCGGUCGGAGCUCUAACGAGUGACGGCGUGCCUUUUGCAUAAUGAACCUACGAGUUACUUUUUCCGGCAAGGUUAAGGGUCUUGAGACCUGCAGCCGAAGCGAAAGCGAGUCUUAACAGGGCGUUCAGUCGGA
RNAcentral lists this non-coding RNA (235 nucleotides) under Bacteroides stercoris. RNAcentral describes it as "Bacterial large subunit ribosomal RNA". It matches the Rfam family "Bacterial large subunit ribosomal RNA", at positions 468 to 704 of the family's 2925-position model. The record is from Rfam by way of RNAcentral. Lineage: Bacteria; Pseudomonadati; Bacteroidota; Bacteroidia; Bacteroidales; Bacteroidaceae.